AGAACGAACGCUGGCGGCAUGCCUAACACAUGCAAGUCGAACGAGACCUUCGGGUUUAGUGGCGCACGGGUGCGUAACGCGUGGGAAUCUGCCCUUGGGUUCGGGAUAACAGUUGGAAACGACUGCUAAUACCGGAUGAUGACUUCGGUCCAAAGAUUUAUCGCCCAAGGAUGAGCCCGCGUAGGAUUAGCUUGUUGGUGAGGUAAGAGCUCACCAAGGCGACGAUCCUUAGCUGGUCUGAGAGGAUGAUCAGCCACACUGGACUGAGACACGGCCCAGACUCCUACGGGAGGCAGCAGUGGGAAUAUGGACAAGUAGGCGAAAGCCUGAUCCAGCAAUGACCGCGUGAGUGAUGGAAGGUCCUUAGGUU
This 370-nucleotide ribosomal RNA is filed under the name uncultured soil bacterium. RNAcentral's name for it is "bacterial SSU rRNA". It matches the Rfam family "Bacterial small subunit ribosomal RNA", at positions 26 to 424 of the family's 1533-position model. The record is from RNAcentral.